UCCCUUGUGGCUCAGUUGGUAAAGAAUCUGCCUGCAAUGCAGGAGACCUGGGUUCGAUCCCUGGGUUGGGAA
Molecule: non-coding RNA, 72 nt
Organism: Bos taurus (domestic cattle)
Lineage: Eukaryota; Metazoa; Chordata; Mammalia; Artiodactyla; Bovidae
Source: Rfam